Molecule: ribosomal RNA, 255 nt
Filed under: uncultured bacterium
Lineage: Bacteria
Description: partial 16S ribosomal RNA
Rfam family: Bacterial small subunit ribosomal RNA
Source: RNAcentral
GUCCACGCCGUAAACGAUGGAUACUAGCUGUUCGGGGCAACCUGAGUGGCUAAGCGAAAGUGAUAAGUAUCCCACCUGGGGAGUACGUUCGCAAGAAUGAAACUCAAAGGAAUUGACGGGGGCCCGCACAAGCGGUGGAGCAUGUGGUUUAAUUCGAUGAUACGCGAGGAACCUUACCAAGGCUUAAAUGUAGAUUGACAGGACUGGAAACAGUUUUUUCUUCGGACAAUUUACAAGGUGCUGCAUGGUUGUCGU